This 755-nucleotide ribosomal RNA is filed under the name uncultured Actinomycetes bacterium. RNAcentral's name for it is "bacterial SSU rRNA". It matches the Rfam family "Bacterial small subunit ribosomal RNA", at positions 707 to 1461 of the family's 1533-position model. Lineage: Bacteria; Bacillati; Actinomycetota; Actinomycetes. The record is from RNAcentral.
CACCGAUGGCGAAGGCAGGUUUCUGGGCCACCACUGACGCUGAGGAGCGAAAGCGUGGGGAGCGAACAGGAUUAGAUACCCUGGUAGUCCACGCCGUAAACGGUGGGCGCUAGAUGUGGGGACCCUUCCAUGGUUUCUGCGUCGCAGCUAACGCAUUAAGCGCCCCGCCUGGGGAGUACGGUCGCAAGACUAAAACUCAAAGGAAUUGACGGGGGCCCGCACAAGCAGCGGAGCAUGCGGCUUAAUUCGAUGCAACGCGAAGAACCUUACCUAGACUUGACAUAUACGGAAAACAUGCAGAGAUGUAUGGUCCUAACGGGCCGUUUACAGGUGGUGCAUGGUUGUCGUCAGCUCGUGUCGUGAGAUGUUGGGUUAAGUCCCGCAACGAGCGCAACCCUCGUUCUAUGUUGCCAGCACGUAAUGGUGGGGACUCAUAGGAGACUGCCGGGGUCAACUCGGAGGAAGGUGGGGAUGACGUCAAAUCAUCAUGCCCCUUAUGUCUAGGGCUGCACGCAUGCUACAAUGGCUGGUACAAAGGGCUGCGAUACCGCAAGGUGGAGCGAAUCCCAAAAAGCCAGUCUCAGUUCGGAUUGGGGUCUGCAACUCGACCCCAUGAAGUUGGAGUUGCUAGUAAUCGCAGAUCAGCAACGCUGCGGUGAAUACGUUCCCGGGCCUUGUACACACCGCCCGUCACGUCACGAAAGUCGGUAACACCCGAAGCCGGUGGCCUAACCGUAAGGAAGGAGCCGUCGAAG